Molecule: non-coding RNA, 11272 nt
Organism: Callithrix jacchus (white-tufted-ear marmoset)
Lineage: Eukaryota; Metazoa; Chordata; Mammalia; Primates; Cebidae
Source: RefSeq, a predicted model, not a curated record
CAAUCCUUUAUGGGCAUGUGCUCAACCGCCAUCAUUCAUGGAACCAGAAGUGGGCCUUCUCAGAUCAGCUGAAUUGAAAUACUAAUGACAAUUCAUUACAGUCUGCCAUGUAUCUAAGAAAAAAUUAAGUACUGCUUUUAUUGCCUGGAGAGCAUGAUAUGCGAAAUUACGUCAGCAGCGGCCGGCAGAGAACGAGAGACCCCUGUUAAUGGAGAGACGCUGAGACCUCGCGAAGAGAGAGUAAAACUCUCUACGCGAGGAUGCCCCAGUCUUCCCACCCUCGAGAAGAGACCCUACCAGGAGCCCCAGAAAUCAGGCAACCUCUUCCCACAGCUAUAUACACUUAACGAGGCAGCCGGGGCCUCCUCAAGCUCCGGACUUGGGAAUCAUCUCCAUUCACCGUCGGCUUUACCCAUCCAGCCAUUGGCGGGCACCCUCUCGGCGCUUUAUAGAAGAUCAGACCUACCUAAGUUCACACAGACGCUGGGGCCCACUCCUUGCCUACGGUCGGCCAGAACUCGGAACCGGCUUCUUCUUCCGCCGGAAGUUACUGCUCCGACGUGUAAGCGUUUCUAGUCGAGCAGUUGUGGCCGCGGCACUACUCAGAAGCGACACUCCACCCGCCGUGACGCGGUCGCUAUGGUAACUGAUCGCCGCUUCUAUGGAGUGGCGUUUACUAGCAGUAAGUUCCCGAGCUUUGAAGAAAGGUGCCUCUGGCUUCGCUCUAAGUCCCUCUUGUCCUGGCUCCGAGACUGUCGCUUCUCUCCUCAGCGAGCACCCCCCCUCGCCAUCCCAAGCUUUCCCUCCGUUCUUCAACGCGUCCUUUAGAGAUGAGUAUAAUCGUUUCGGUUGGUGCUUGAACUCUGAGAGGGUCUCGCCCCAGUAUCCAGUCUGGAGUUCAGUGGCACAAUCUCAGCUCAUUGCAGCCUCUACCUCCCAAGCUCAAGCCAUCUGCUAAGUCAGCUUCCCAAGUAGUUGGGACUACAGCAAUAGUAGUCAUCAUCGAUGAACUUUCGUUGAGUUUGUGCAAGGCAGUGGACUAAGCAGGAGAGAAAUAGGAAGAGUUCUCUUACAGGUCUUUAUCUUAUCUAGGAUGUUUGGUCCUGUUUUCCUAUCUGCACAUCUGAUGUUUUAAUCAUUCCCUGAGCCUAUUAAAGAUAUUGUCUAUAAUCCAUCUUCUGUUUAUCUUUAAUAAUCGUACAAAUACCAACUUUUUUUUCCCCAUUCACUUCUUUACCCUUUUCUCUUAUGACUACUCUGGUUUUUCUGUGCACUUUCGAAUUACCCUGAAGUUUGUGGUGAUCUCUUCCAGUCACGUGGGGAUAUGUAUUCAUAUACAGAUGCUCCUUGACACGACAGGGUUAUGUCUGAUAAGCCCAUUUUAGGCUGAAAAUCUAUUAGUGCCUUAAUACACCUAACCUCCUGAACAUCAUAGCUUAAGCUAGCCUUCUUUAAUUGUGGUCAGAACACUUACUUUAGCCUACAGUUGGGUAAAAUCAUCUAGCACACAGUAUUCCAUAGAGUAUUGGUUGUUUACCCUCAGAGACUGCAUGGCUAACUGGCAGCUGCUGCUCCUUGCCACUGCCCAGCAUCAUGAGGGAUUAUUUUACUACAUUGCUAGCCUGGGAAAAGAUCAAAAUUCAAAAGUCAAAGUAUGGUUUCUACUGAACAUGUAUUAGUAGAAUACACACCAUGUAAAGUUGAAAAAUUGUUAGUCAAACCAUCCUAAGUCAGGGACUGGCUAUACUGUUUGUUAAAGCAUGCUACUUUCUCUACUUUAUUUUUUUUAAUACUGAAUUUUUUUUUUUGAAAAGUUUAUUUUUGGCAUGUAAUUGACCCAGGGAAGAAAGGUUAAUCUGAAUGAUCAAGGGGUGUUAAUUUGUGGGUUAAAAUGUGUUAAACAGUUGAUUUGAAGUCUGUUUAAGUCAAUUAGAGAGUAUAAUGAAGAUGUUUCCAGGGUGUUAUGGAACCUUUUGAAGUUAGUGUGGAAUUCACUAGUGUAUAUUAACUAUGGCACCUGCUAUUGCAUUCAGGUUUUUUAAUUUGUGUGAAUUCUAAUAGAUAUGAAUAGGUCAACAUAUAUAAAAGUUUGACUUUAUUAAUGAGCCUCAUCUUUUGUUAUAGGAAAUUAAACUCAUGACUUCAUUCAUCAUUAGCAAUGGAAAACAUAAUUAGUAUCGUUGUUAUCUUUGUUACUUGAAUUUUUUCAAAAAUAUAAGGCAAUGACUUUUCUUUUAAAAUAAGAUUAGUGUUAUUAUAGGUUUUUAAAUGCUAAGUAUGUCAUGUGGAAAGGUAGAAUUCAUAAAGGCAUAUGAAAUUUUGUGUGCUCACUUAAAGAAAUAAUUUAUUUCCUCCCCUAAAAUUAUAUGAAGUAAAAUUAUGAAACAGUUUAGUGUUGGUGAAUAUUUUCAAAGAUUUCAAAAUAGUUAAUGUUAUUACACACAGUUUAAUAUUAUUAUGCUCAAAUUCAGUCAUCAAAUAUAAUUUUUGUAUGAUGAUAGCAUUAUUUAAGAUGAAUAAAGCAUUGCAACUUCACCAGUUUAAAUCCACAAGAGAUAUGAGAGUAAAAAUCACGUUUUAAAAUACAUUCUUCACUUAGCAUUAGAGUUACUAUAGUCUAUUUUUUAUUACUUAUGUCAGUUUGCUAGUAAUAAACAUAUUUAACAUUUCAGCUUCUUGAAACCUUUAAGUUUAUUUAGAGACCGAGAAAAACAAGUGUUGUAUGCUAAAGGGAUUUCUGCAAUGAUGGAUUAAAUGCCAAAAUAAUGAAACCACAUAUCUUAAAAAAUAUACUGAAGAAUAGAUGUUUUCUGAUGAAUUUCACAAAAAUAUCAUAUUUUUAAAAUACUUUAAGCAAUUCAUAGUAUUACUUUUUAAUCUGCUAUAGAAGCACCAUGAAUCUAGUCUGUUGUAGCUCAUUAGCAAUUUCUUUAAUGAGUUUUUUGGUGUGAUAGAUAAAGUAACAGACAAAUGACAGAUUGUUUGCCUUUAAUGAUUUCCCUGUUUCAAGCCCAUUACAAAGCAAUUAGAAAUCUGACAGCAUUUUCACUCUGCAUUACUGAUCAUCUAAAGUGAUGAGGAAUGAGAGGUGGUGAAUAUUAAUUGUAUAUUUUCAUAUGAUUAUCAUAAAUUAUUACCUUGUCUGAUGUGUUGCAGGUGAAGCAGGAGCAUUAGAGAAAGGCAUUCAGAUACAUCAACUUGAAAGACUAUUAUUUAAAAAAAAUCUUUGUAGUAUAAAUCCUAGUCUGCAAUGUUAGUCUCUAUGAAUAUUCCUCUAUCACUAUUAACUAUUUUUAGUUUCUAUUAUAUUUGGGACAACUGAAAUUUUCUUUCUUUUUUUCUUUUUGAGUUGGAAUCUCUCUCUGUAUGACGAAGUACAGGUGCACUGGUCUCAGCUCACUGCAACCUCUGUCUCCCAGGUUCAAGCAAUUCUCCUGCCUCAGUCUCCUGAGUAGAUGGUACUACAGGCACCCGCCACCACACUCGGCUAACUUUUAUAUUUUUAGUAGAGACGGGGUUUAACCAUAUUUGCCAGGCUGAUCUCAAACUUCUGACCUUUUGAUCUGCCCAACUCGGCCUCCCAAAGUGCUAGGAUUACAGGCAUGUGCCACUUCACCCAGCCACAACUGAAGUUUUCUUAUUUGAAUACAAGAAAAGGAAAGAUUAUUCCAUAGUACAAUAAACCUAUAUGUAUUUAAAUUUAGGAUCUUAAAAAUCUGUGAAUUUUGUUGAUUUAUAUAUUACAUAUAUAUAAUAACAUUCAGAAAUUUCAGUAUAGAGAAAGAUACUCUUAGAAAUAGGUCGUAAGUUAGUCUUUGGUUAAAGUCAGGUAAUCCUGCAAAAGAAGUGGUAAGGAAGUGUAGCCAAAUGUAGAAUGAGAUAUUUCUAGGUCCUCUGUAACAGUUCUUUUGAUCUUAGCCCACAAUAUAUCCUGUUUUUCCAGUUUCUUGCCUCAGAUAGUAGAUGAGGCUAAGAUUGUCAUUAGGAUGCAAGUGCUGUUGUUACUUGUUUCCUGCCUUGGAUUUAGAGCAAGUGCUGGUCAAGGAACUAGAUGCAGUAAGAAUUAACAAACCUAGAGCACUUUAAAUGAUUAUAGGCUGGGUGUGGUGGCUCACACCUGUAAUCUCAGCACUUUGGGAGGGUGAGGCAGGUGGAUCACUUGAGGUCAGGAGUUCAAGACCAGCCUGGUCAACAUGGUGAAGCCCUGUAUCUACUAAAAAUACAAAAAUUAGUUGGGCAUGGUAGCGCAUGCCUAUAGUCCCAGCUACUCAGGAGGCUGAGGUAGGAGAAUCUCUUGAACCUUGGAGGUAGUGGUUAUAGUGGGCUGAGAUAGUGCCACUGUACUCCAGCUGGGUGACAGAGCAAGCCUCUUGUCUUAAAAAAAAAGAUUAGAAAUAUAUUUGGUUCAACUUUACUAACGUAAAUUAGUGUAUAUGCUACUGUCUCUCUAAAGAUAGGUAUUAGUUGGUAAUUGAUAUGUAAUGAGUUGAAUUGAAUUUCUUUGUGCUAAUGAGGCUGUGUCUCCAUUAAGUCCUCCCUUUGGACCUUUUUGCUCUGGUUUGAUCUAUGAAAUUCCAUCCCUUGCAGUUGCAUGCCAUCCUGGAUCCAUCUUUAUGGAUCUUUAUUUAUGAAGAAGGUUAUAUGAUUAUAAAUCAAUAAAGCGUAUUUUUACAUGCUGCUUUGAAACCAUUCUUUUUAUUUUAUAUUUAAUUGUGUGUGUUUGCACUUUAUAUGUACUUAAAGUGUUAGGCCUUCACAGAUGAACUUUUUGUGUUUUGGAAAGCUGAGAACCAUCUAAAAUUAAUUUCAUAUUUACUGAGGGAAAAGUUAGGUAUUGUAGUAUGAAAGCAAAUUAUCAGUAAAAAGCAUUCCGUCUCUAGCAUUUGGUAGUCCUAUUUAAUAAUCUUUGUAGUGGGUAAGAUUUCCAAAUGUAUUAAUUACUCUCCAUAUCUGAUGACCUCCCAAGGUUUUGCAUCACAGGGACCUCCUUUAUCUAUAGCAUAGGUCCAACUAACAUACACCUUAUGGAAUCAGAAUGGGGAUUCCAAAUCCCCUCAACUCUUUUCUGAUGGUAUUCCUUACCUUAGUGUUAGUCUAGACUUUUAAGUCGAUCCUUUCGACAGCCCAACCAAUUGGAUCCUUUGCUUCUCUUUACACUUCUAACAUACCACUAACCAACAUAGGUACAGUAGUUUCCCCUUAUCAGUGGUUUUAGUUAACCAUGGUUAACUGCAGUCCAAAAAUAGGUAAGUACUGUAAAAUGAGAUAUUUUGAGACAGAGAGAACACAGACACUUAACUUUAUUACAGUGUAUUAUUAUAAAUGGUCUAUUUUAUUAUUAGUUCUUUGCUGCUAAUCUCUUACUGUACCUAAUUUAUAAGUUAAACUUUAUCAUAUAUAUGAUAGGAAAAAACAUACUAUAUAUAAGGUCUAAUACAGUAUUGUAUAUACUUUCAAGCAUCCACUGGGGGUCUUGGAUCAUAUCGCUUACAGAUCAGCAGAGGGGGGAAUACUUUGCUUGAAUUUUGGCCAAAGUCUCCACUUCUUUCUUUAGAGGAAUUGGUUUGGAAAACUUACAUAUUUUUCCUAUGACAGGGAAUAGCUCUCCAUACCUCAGUAUGUAUUAAUAGAAACCUGGGCUGUCCAACUGUGGCAUUGUUAGCAAACCAGUAGCUGAGGAAGUAAACAAUCUGAAGUUGUAAAUAGUAAAUAACUGUAUCUUCUCUGAUAGCAAAGAGUCUAUGGAAUACUUUCUGCCAUGUCUAGACACUGUUUCUUGGACAAUUCAGGAGACAGACUUAAAUAGGAGCUAACAUUUAUAAUUAAUAAGCACUUUUACAUAUUGUGUAUGUUUUCAUUUGAUCCUUCUAACAGUCCUGUGAGGUAGUUAAGGCAGAUACUAUUAUCAUACACAUAAAGCAAUGAGACUGGGAAGGAACAGAGGCAAAAAUUCAAACCCAAGUCAGUUGAGUCCAGAUCUGUGGCAUUUUCUGUCAUACCACCUUAGCUUUUAUAUGUAAAAGUUCUUCUAUUAAGUGACUAAAAUUUUAGAGACAGAGAACUUUGGAGUUUCUCCCUUUUAUCAGUAUCUCACACCCCCAUUUUUUAGACAGGCAGGGAAAAUGUACAGAAAAGGGUUUAGGAUUUACCACAGGUCUGGCCUCAAACUAGGACCAGAGCUUCAGAACUUCAUGACCUAGUCCCAGUGGUCUUUGCAUUACAGUGCACUACUUUCAUGUUUCCUGAAGCUACAGGGCCAUUCUCUUUAGCUAUAUUUUCUUCAGUUAUUAACUUAAAUAAAUUAUUUGUUAGAGUCUUGGCUUGGUAAAUAUAAAUAAUUCCCCCCCCCACUUUUCCUUUUUAGUUACAAAAUAAAGUCCCUUUUAUCUGGCAUAGCUUGUUUAUGUGGUAGGUAGCUCCCCUAAACAUUCUGGAAUGUCCUAAGGUAAGAGGGGAAGAAAAGAGUGUGACUCGUGUUGAGAGAGCUGAGAAGAGCAAUUGGGGGUAGUUACUUAGUUACUCAUUCUCAUGUUUUUCUGUGUGUAAAGGCACAAAUAACACCUUGGGGCACUCUUCCCUUUCUAGCAUGGGAGCAUCCCUGAUUUAUUGUUCCCUGGUAUGGAGGCUUAGAAAGAAAGUGAAGAUCAUCAGCCAGGUGUGGUGGCUCACACCGGUAAUCCCAGCACUUUGGGAGGUAAAGGUAGACAGAUUAGUUGAGGUCAGGAGCUCAAGACUGGCCUGGUCAGCAUGGUGAAACCCUGUCUCUACUAAAAAUACAAAAAAUUAGACAGGCGUGGUGGUGGGUGCCAGUAAUCCCAGCUACUCGGUAGGCUGAGGCUGGAGAAUCGCUUGAACCUAGGAGGCAGAGGUUGCGGUGAGCAGAGAUCAUUCCACUGCACUCCAGCCUGCGCAACAGAGCGAGACUCUGACUUAAAAAAAAAAAACAAAGAAAGUUGAGAUCAAACAAUAACUCAGUAACCAAACUUUUUCUAAGAUAUCUAAAUUAUUAUUUUAAAUGUUUAAAUGGUAACAGAGACUGGGAAAAUAGGUAUGUCAAUUACACGAAGAACAACAAUUCUCCUGGUUCAUACGCAGCUCAGUUCAACAUACUAUUGGCUCUUGCCUGAUUCUCUAAUACAAGUCAAAUGUUUGACUUCCUUUCCCCAGUGAGAGACCUCAUUCCAGCAUAGUCAUGUUUCCAGACCUCUCUUGUAGUCAGCCAGCUUGUCUCAUGACACAGAGAUUUCUCUUCAUGAAAAGUGGGUUCAUCCCUCGAUGCCACAGACUUGAUCUUUACAUUAUUUCUCCUCUAACCAAAUAACAGCUAUUCUUCACACUCUGCAAGUUUCAAGUGUUUUUCCCAGCACUUACAUUUUAAGCACCACUCUAAUAAUGAUUACCAUCUCUAGCCAUAGAAAAUCCUUUCAAUUCAUUCACAAAGUGCUUCCUUGUUCCCUCUCAAAAUUUCUACCUAAUUUGGGUUUAUAUUUACAGUGGUGUUGCACUGCUGUCUCAGUAACACCACUUAGUUGAAUUAACGAGUCAUUUAAGAGCUCUACAGGGAAAAAAAGGUCAAACGUUGAGGGAAAAACAAAAAAAAGAAAAGGAAAUACCUGCUUUAAAAUUUCACAGCUCUCAGAGACCUGAUUUGAUGGGGCCAAAAUGUAAAGUAGGCCAAGGUUUCUUACUAUCAGUCAUCAAUAAAAAAGCUGACUUUAUUCUGAAACAGAUCCUUAAAAGAGAGAUGUGUCAGUAGCCAUUGGUUGAGUAUUGAAGUCAAUUUUAAAAUUCCUUUUUUCCUAAAUCAUUUUUUCCUAUCCUACUGAAUUGGAGGAGGGAAUAAAAAGGUUUACGACAUUGAAAUAGAUUACACUGUUCACUUCUUGCUUGAUGUGACCUGUCAUUCUAUCAUAGAAAGUUCAUCUGGCAUAUUUGGCUCUUCUGAUACUAUAUUCAUGUCUCCAGUUAAAAAGCUGUCUAAUUACCAAAAUAAUUUCCCCCUUACUUUAAAAACGGAUAGGUUUUCCCUUUUCCAGUCUCCAAUGACAUCUUUCCGUCAUUUUGAGAUGUUGAAAGCAGAGAGAUUUAGUUAAAAAGAGUGGGAGAGAAGAGAAUAAAAAGAUAUUCUUCUUUCCUUUGUUGCAGUCACAUCUAUGUGACCUAUUCUGUGUUGACAGUCAUAAAUAUUUGACUCAUAUUUUAAGACACAGCCUUACUCUGUCACCAGGCUAGAGUACAGUGGCGUGAUCUCGGCUCACUGCAACCUCUGCCUCCCAGGUUCGAGCGAUUCUCCUACCUCAGCCUCCUGAGUAGCUGGGAUUAUAGGCACACACUACCAUGCCCAUCUAAUUUUUGUAUUUUGAGACAGAAUUUCACCAUGUUGGCCAGGAUGGUCUCAAUCUCUUGACCUCGUGAUCUGCUCACCUCAGCCUCCCAAAGUGCUGGGAUUACAAGCGUGAGCCACCAUGCCCAGCCCUUCACUCAUAUUUUAAUUUACUUUUGGACUUCUUAAAGUUUGAACUAAUUAUCCCUUCAAGGAAAAAAAAAAGCUUACAAUGUACUUCUUAGAGACUUAUUAUCUAAUUCCAUAACCUGCAGUCAUGGAUAUUUCUAUUUAUACUAGACUCUGUAAACUGAAGAAUUUUCUUUCUACUAUCCAGUAAUCAAAGGUGGUUGGAUACUUCACUGUGCUUAUUCUGUUCAUGCUUCGAAGUUUAGCAUUGCUGAUGAGUGGGUGUUGGCAUUAUAAUCAAAUAAUUUUAAGUAAACAUGGAACAUCAGACUUGAAGCUAUAAAUUAUCUUUAAGAAUAAGGCUUUUAAGAAAAUACUAUCUAAAGCUGUAACCAACAGUUAGUUUUGUGAAAAUCAUCAUGUUUUAGAUGUUUCUGCACUCUGAAGAACAAUGAAGAUAGUGGACCACAUUAUUUAGGCACUGUCAUCAAUGUUGUGGGUAAUAAAUGCUUUGGGUUUAUUUUCUCGAUGUGGUUUAUUAUCAAAUGGAAACCAUCUGUUGGAACCAUUUUGUAUUAAAAUUAACCGAUAAUUUAUCAAGUAAAUUGGAUAUUUCACUUUUUGAAUAUUUAAGAUAAAGUAUUAGAUUCCAAAGAAAUGUCCUAUUUGUGGCAGGCUGCUUCAGGCUAUUUUACUAGAUAGCUCAGGUAUAGAAAAAGGUCAUGCUUUGCACCAACUUGUAUGAAGAAUUUCACAAAGUAUUAGGUUCCCAUUUAUGUUGCUUCCAGCUGAAUCUAGAAGACCUUGUUGAGAUUGUGAAAACUGUAGAGUUGGUCAUCGCCUCAAUUUGCAAGUCAAAUUUACUGAAGUUGGAAAAUUCAGAAUGGCAAUUAUGUGUAUCGUCAAAGAAACAAUAUAUUAAGCAUAUAUGUGUGUAAGAAUAUAUGAAUGUGUGUUGUGUGUGUGUGUAUGCACACACUUGUACAUGUGUUAUAGUGUAUUAAAAAAGAGACAGUAAACAGAGACCUUUAUGUCAGGUAAUGCAAUGUGAAUAAAAUCGUCAUUCUAAUUGUAUCUCCCAACUGGCAAAAUGAAAACUGUAAUCUGAGUUAAACCUGACCUAAUAUAAAUGCCAAAUGGCAAUAAGAAUGAGACAAUUUCUUCCUUACUCCUAGAUGGCUGCAUAAUCUUUUCUCUUUCAUUUUGGGUCAUCCCAGAUUCUGAGUAUUUGUUUUAGAAUACUAAAGGUAGCAGAAUGUAGUUAUGUGAAUUUAGAUGGAUGUAAUAUUUCUCCAGAGAUUUAUUGUCAUGUUAUUAUUAGGUGAACUCUCAAGUUAACUCAAAAGCUGUUAUCUUUGUCUUGAGAUUGAGCUGUAUUUUAGAUAGGAAAUUAAGUCAUAUUUUCUUAAUAUUAGGAAUGUCUUGACUAGUCAAAUUAUGAAGCUGUUGUGUUGAAAGUUGAAUAGAAUAGUUGAAAGUUCUUAUGUUGCUGCAGUACCUAAGUAUGAGCUCACUGAGGGCAGUGCCUUUUUCUAUCAUGUUUUUAUUAUGUUCAUGUUGAAUUAUGUUGAACUUGUUUAGUAAAAACAUAAUGAUAAUUAUUGUUGUAUAUCAUUAUUUAAAUAAAUAAAUGAUUUCUCUUCUGUAAAAGUAAAUAGUAUUGUGCAUACACAUGAUAAGGAUGUUUUUCAUUGCUUUCCUCUGGUAGACAGUCAAUCCUUAGCCAUGACAGCACAUGGUUUCUUUAUAGAGUGAGCAUAAGGCGAGCCCUAGAGCACUGUUUUGUUACCUUACCUUUGGCACUCUGCUUAGAUGGUGAUCUUUACAAAGUUUUAAAUUUCACCUCAGGAGAACAUUACAUAGUAAUCGUUGCUGAAGCAAAUUGGAGGUACAAAUUUUUGUAAUCAGGUUUGAAGGAUUUGUUUCUCAAUAAUAGUUGAGCAACUUUUCUGUUCUGUUGUGGUUGGCUUACCAGUACCUUUUAAUAGAUAACAAACUUCACAUGAUGGCUUGUGGAAUUGCUUCCCUCUGCAGCCCUUUAAACUAAGCGUAAAAUUCAGAAGACUUUAUAAGUACCAUGUCACUUCAGAUACCCGUAAAUAGGAAGACUGUGUUUUAAUUAGGGGAGUGGAAAAAGAGAAGAUCGUUUAUUCAAGUAGUAGUUCCUGGAUGAGCAUUAAACAACUUGUGCUUCUUUGGGAUCAACAGGGCUUUCAGCUUUCCAAGGUGAUGUGCUGCAUUUAUGCAUGUGAAUAAUAAACUUAUGCAAAAUAAAAGGAAAUUUCAUGCUUGGGAGAAAAAGAAGUGUAUGAGCUUUAUCCUUACCUAAAGAACAAAGAACACUGUCCAUUAAAGUAAGAUAGAGUAAAAGAAGUUUUUUCCUGCCUUCAUUUUGGAAAAUGUACAUUAAAAGACCUUAAGAUUUCCCACAUAAUAUUUAAAAACUUUUUUGAGCCUGCUCCAUUGCUACAUGAUAAUCUUCUAUUUCUAUAGAUUUACAUGUAUCUCCCCCUAAAAGGGGAGUUAAAGCAAGAGUUGAAUAAUCUUUUACCUAUAACAUAUGCAUAUUUUGAAAAAAAGUGGAAACAUUUGAAAAAUUGCAUGUAUUUUUAUGCUCCAAUUUAUUUGUUACUAUGGCAACCACCACAGUGCCUAGUAUUUAUGUUGUCUAAAAUUCAGAACACCUUUUCAAAGAAAUCAAUAUGCCAGAGAGAUGUAUUGUAUUUACUUUAGUAUUUAGAAAAAUAUUUAUUUUAAUGCAUAUUUUUGAAGAAAAAUAGCAAUAAUAAUGUAAACUUCAGUCUGGCUUAAAUUAAUACC